GUAGGGAAUAUUGGACAAUGGGCGGAAGCCUGAUCCAGCCAUGCCGCGUGUGUGAAGAAGGCCUUUUGGUUGUAAAGCACUUUAAGCGAGGAGGAGGCUACCGAGAUUAAUACUCUUGGAUAGUGGACGUUACUCGCAGAAUAAGCACCGGCUAACUCUGUGCCAGCAGCCGCGGUAAUACAGAGGGUGCAAGCGUUAAUCGGAUUUACUGGGCGUAAAGCGCGCGUAGGUGGCCAAUUAAGUCAAAUGUGAAAUCCCCGAGCUUAACUUGGGAAGUGCAUUAGAUACUGGUUGGCUAGAGUAUGGGAGAGGAUGGUAGAAUUCCAGGUGUAGCGGUGAAAUGCGUAGAGAUCUGGAGGAAUACCGAUGGCGAAGGCAGCCAUCUGGCCUAAUACUGACACUGAGGUGCGAAAGCAUGGGGAGCAAACAGGAUUAGAAACCCGAGUAGUCC
This 451-nucleotide ribosomal RNA is filed under the name uncultured bacterium. RNAcentral's name for it is "partial 16S ribosomal RNA". It matches the Rfam family "Bacterial small subunit ribosomal RNA", at positions 354 to 796 of the family's 1533-position model. The record is from RNAcentral.